This 351-nucleotide ribosomal RNA is filed under the name uncultured soil bacterium. RNAcentral describes it as "bacterial SSU rRNA". It matches the Rfam family "Bacterial small subunit ribosomal RNA", at positions 26 to 378 of the family's 1533-position model. The record is from RNAcentral.
AGGACGAACGCUGGCGGCGUGCUUAACACAUGCAAGUCGAGCGGUAAGGCCCUUUCGGGGGUACACGAGCGGCGAACGGGUGAGUAACACGUGAGCAAUCUGCCCUUCACUUCGGGAUAAGCCUCGGAAACGGGGUCUAAUACCGGAUAUGACUGCGCCAUGCAUGUGGUGUGGUGGAAAGUUCUGGCGGUGAGGGAUGAGCUCGCGGCCUAUCAGCUUGUUGGUGGGUAAUGGCCUACCAAGGCUUCGACGGGUAGCCGGCCUGAGAGGGUGACCGGCCACACUGGGACUGGAGACGACCGGCCAGACCUCCGACGGGAGCAGCAGGUGGGAAUAGUGGACAAGUCGGGA